GAUGAACGCUGGCGGCGUGCCUAAUACAUGCAAGUCGAGCGAACAGACGAGGAGCUUGCUCCUCUGACGUUAGCGGCGGACGGGUGAGUAACACGUGGAUAACCUACCUAUAAGACUGGGAUAACUUCGGGAAACCGGAGCUAAUACCGGAUAAUAUAUUGAACCGCAUGGUUCAAUAGUGAAAGACGGUUUUGCUGUCACUUAUAGAUGGUUCCGCGCCGCAUUAGCUAGUUGGUAAGGUAACGGCUUACCAAGGCAACGAUGCGUAGCCGACCUGAGAGGGUGAUCGGCCACACUGGAACUGAGACACGGUCCAGACUCCUACGGGAGGCAGCAGUAGGGAAUCUUCCGCAAUGGGCGAAAGCAUGACGGAGCAACGCCGCGUGAGUGAUGAAGGUCUUCGGAUCGUAAAACUCUGUUAUUAGGGAAGAACAAAUGUGUAAGUAACUAUGCACGUCUUGACGGUACCUAAUCAGAAAGCCACGGCUAACUACGUG
Molecule: ribosomal RNA, 497 nt
Filed under: uncultured bacterium
Lineage: Bacteria
Description: partial 16S ribosomal RNA
Rfam family: Bacterial small subunit ribosomal RNA
Source: RNAcentral